GGACGGGUGAGUAAUGCCUAGGAAUCUGCCUGGUAGUGGGGGACAACGUUUCGAAAGGAACGCUAAUACCGCAUACGUCCUACGGGAGAAAGUGGGGGAUCUUCGGACCUCGCGCUAUCAGAUGAGCCUAGGUCGGAUUAGCUAGUUGGUGAGGUAAAGGCUCACCAAGGCGACGAUCCGUAACUGGUCUGAGAGGAUGAUCAGUCACACUGGAACUGAGACACGGUCCAGACUCCUACGGGAGGCAGCAGUGGGGAAUAUUGGACAAUGGGCGAAAGCCUGAUCCAGCCAUGCCGCGUGUGUGAAGAAGGUCUUCGGAUUGUAAAGCACUUUAAGUUGGGAGGAAGGGCAGUAAGCUAAUACCUUGCUGUUUUGACGUUACCGACAGAAUAAGCACCGGCUAACUUCGUGCCAGCAGCCGCGGUAAUACGAAGGGUGCAAGCGUUAAUCGGAAUUACUGGGCGUAAAGCGCGCGUAGGUGGUUCGUUAAGUUGGAUGUGAAAGCCCCGGGCUCAACCUGGGAACUGCAUCCAAAACUGGCGAGCUAGAGUAUGGCAGAGGGUGGUGGAAAUUUCCUGUGUAGCGGUGAAAUGCGUAGAU
RNAcentral lists this ribosomal RNA (600 nucleotides) under Stutzerimonas stutzeri. RNAcentral describes it as "bacterial SSU rRNA". It matches the Rfam family "Bacterial small subunit ribosomal RNA", at positions 100 to 695 of the family's 1533-position model. The record is from RNAcentral. Lineage: Bacteria; Pseudomonadati; Pseudomonadota; Gammaproteobacteria; Pseudomonadales; Pseudomonadaceae.